UACGGAGGGUGCAAGCGUUGUUCGGAAUCAUUGGGCGUAAAGCGCGCGCAGGCGGCUUUCUAAGUCCAGAGGUGAAAUGCCGGGGCUCAACCCCGCGCGUGCCUCGGAUACUGGGAGGCUGGAGACAGGUAGAGGCGAGCGGAAUUCCGGGUGUAGCGGUGGAAUGCGCAGAUAUCAGGAGGAACACCGGUGGCGAAGGCGGGAUCCUGGGCCAGUACUGACGCUGAGGAGCGAAAGCGUGGGGAGCAAACAGG
This 254-nucleotide ribosomal RNA is filed under the name uncultured bacterium. Its description in RNAcentral is "partial 16S ribosomal RNA". It matches the Rfam family "Bacterial small subunit ribosomal RNA", at positions 524 to 776 of the family's 1533-position model. The record is from RNAcentral.